RNAcentral lists this ribosomal RNA (370 nucleotides) under uncultured bacterium. RNAcentral describes it as "partial 16S ribosomal RNA". It matches the Rfam family "Bacterial small subunit ribosomal RNA", at positions 9 to 389 of the family's 1533-position model. The record is from RNAcentral.
GAGUUUGAUCAUGGCNNNNGAUGAACGCUANNNGCAGGCCUAAUACAUGCAAGGCGAGGGGGCAUUUCGGUGUCACCGUCGUACGGGUGCGUAACGCGUAUGCAACCUACCCACCACUGGGGGAUAGCCCGGGGAAACCCGGAUUAAUACCGCAUAACACAGGGGGCCCGCAUGGUNUUAUUUGUUAAAGAUUUAUCGGUGGUGGAUGGGCAUGCGUUCGAUUNNNUAGUUGGCGGGGUAACGGCCCACCAAGGCUACGAUCGAUAGGGGAGCUGAGAGGUCGAUCCCCCACACGGGCACUGAGAUACGGGCCCGACUCCUACGGGAGGCAGCAGUAGGGAAUAUUGGGCAAUGGAUGCAAGUCUGACCC